GACGAACGCUGGCGGCGUGCUUAACACAUGCAAGUCGAACGAAGAGCGACGGAAGCUUGCUUCUAUCAAUCUUAGUGGCGAACGGGUGAGUAACGCGUAAUCAACCUGCCCUUCAGAGGGGGACAACAGUUGGAAACGACUGCUAAUACCGCAUACGAUCUAACCUCGGCAUCGAGGAUAGAUGAAAGGUGGCCUCUACAUGUAAGCUAUCACUGAAGGAGGGGAUUGCGUCUGAUUAGCUAGUUGGAGGGGUAACGGCCCACCAAGGCGAUGAUCAGUAGCCGGUCUGAGAGGAUGAACGGCCACAUUGGGACUGAGACACGGCCCAGACUCCUACGGGAGGCAGCAGUGGGGAAUCUUCCGCAAUGGACGAAAGUCUGGCGGAGCAACGCCGCGUGAGUGAUGACGGCCUUCGGGUUGUAAAGCUCUGUUAAUCGGGACGAAAGGCCUUCUUGCGAAUAGUGAGAAGGAUUGACGGUACCGGAAUAGAAAGCCACGGCUAACUACGUG
RNAcentral lists this ribosomal RNA (510 nucleotides) under uncultured bacterium. RNAcentral describes it as "partial 16S ribosomal RNA". It matches the Rfam family "Bacterial small subunit ribosomal RNA", at positions 28 to 507 of the family's 1533-position model. The record is from RNAcentral.